UACGUAGGGUGCGAGCGUUAAUCGGAAUUACUGGGCGUAAAGCGUGCGCAGGCGGUUCGUUGUGUCGGCGGUGAAAGCCCCGGGCUCAACCUGGGAAUUGCAUUGGAUACUGGCAGGCUAGAGUGCGGUAGAGGAUGGCGGAAUUCCCGGUGUAGAGGUGAAAUUCGUAGAUAUCGGGAAGGAACACCAGUGGCGAAGGCGGCGACCUGGGCCAAUAUUGACGCUGAGGUGACGAAAGCGUGGGGAGCAACAGG
RNAcentral lists this ribosomal RNA (254 nucleotides) under uncultured bacterium. RNAcentral describes it as "partial 16S ribosomal RNA". It matches the Rfam family "Bacterial small subunit ribosomal RNA", at positions 524 to 775 of the family's 1533-position model. The record is from RNAcentral.